GACGAACGCUGGCGGCGUGCUUAACACAUGCAAGUCGAACGGAAAGGCCUGCUUUCCCUUGUGGAUUGCGUGUACUCGAGCGGCGAACGGGUGAGUAACACGCGAGCUAUCUGCCCCCAACUUGGGUAUAAGCCUGGGAAACUGUGUCUAAUUCCCGAUAGGACUGCAGGGUGGUGCCUGUGGUGGAAAACGAUUUUCUAGUUGUUGGGGAUGUGCUCGAGGCCUAUCAGCUUGUUGGUGGGGUAAUGGCCUACCAAGGCGGCGACGGGUAGCCGGCCUGAGAGGGUCGACAGCGACAUUGGGACAGAGACACGGCCCAGACGCCGACGGGAGGCAGGGAAGGUGAAUAAUGCGGACUGAGCGGAAGGCUGAUGCAGCGACGGAGCGUGGGGGAUGACGGCCUUCGGAUUGUCAUCUGCUUUCGAACAAGAGGAAGGCACCUGGUUGGAAGGGUUGUGACGGUAGUUGAAGAAGAAGCACCGGCUAACUACGUG
This 494-nucleotide ribosomal RNA is filed under the name uncultured bacterium. RNAcentral describes it as "partial 16S ribosomal RNA". It matches the Rfam family "Bacterial small subunit ribosomal RNA", at positions 28 to 507 of the family's 1533-position model. The record is from RNAcentral.